GAUGAAGAACGUAGUGAAAUGCGUUAAUUAAUGUGAAUUGCAGAAUUCAGUGAAUCAUCGAGUCUUUGAACGCACAUUGCGCCCCCUGGUAUUCCGGGGGGCAUGCCUGCCCGAGCGUCAUUGCUGCCCUCAAGCACGGCUUGUGUGUUGGGCUUCCGUCCCUGGCAACGGGGACGGGCCCAAAAGGCAGUGGCGGCACCAUGUCUGGUCCUCGAGCGUAUGGGGCUUUGUCACCCGCUCCCGUAGGUCCAGCUGGCAGCUAGCCUCGCAACCAAUCUUUUUAACCAGGUUGACCUCGGAUCAGGUAGGGAUACCCGCUGAACUUAAGCAUAUCAAUAGGAGGA
Molecule: unclassified non-coding RNA, 344 nt
Filed under: soil metagenome
Description: partial contains 5.8S ribosomal RNA, internal transcribed spacer 2, and large subunit ribosomal RNA
Rfam family: 5.8S ribosomal RNA (bases 1-120)
Source: RNAcentral